Protopterus annectens (West African lungfish) is the source of this 223-nucleotide small nucleolar RNA. RefSeq annotates it as small nucleolar RNA SNORA73 family. The transcript has a single exon. The record is from RefSeq and is a predicted model, not a curated record. NCBI's taxonomy places the organism in Eukaryota, Metazoa, Chordata, Ceratodontiformes, Protopteridae.
ACAACGUGGGCACACAUUUUGAGACUGCUCUCUUAUGGCUGUCCGUGUGGCAUAUAGGAGCAUCGCACUGUUAAGUGGAGUGAUGUAUAUUCCUGUCCCACAACGUUGGAGAGCAAGUCUGUCUCCAGCCUUAUGGCUAGUGAGGACAGCAUCCUGUAUAUUCCUAACUCUCCUCAGAGUCCGUGGGCAGUUACUGAGGAGACAAACCAUGCAGGAUACAAGC